Molecule: non-coding RNA, 115 nt
Organism: Mycena crocata
Lineage: Eukaryota; Fungi; Basidiomycota; Agaricomycetes; Agaricales; Mycenaceae
Source: the annotation of a GenBank genome assembly
GGUUGGAUGGCCGAGCGGUCUAAGGCGCCAGACUAAGGAUCAGCUUCAAGUUGAAGCUUCAGUUACUCAGGUAAUCUGGUCCUCCGGGGCGUGGGUUCGAAUCCCACUCCAAUCA